Molecule: long non-coding RNA, 1076 nt
Organism: Brienomyrus brachyistius
Lineage: Eukaryota; Metazoa; Chordata; Actinopteri; Osteoglossiformes; Mormyridae
Exons: 3
Source: RefSeq, a predicted model, not a curated record
GGAAGCGUCGAGAGAAAGACGAGGGCUGUGAGGGACUGGACAGCAGCGGGGUAGCUGUAUGAAGAUCAAGCUGGACUUUGAAAGGAAGAAAUGAAAAUGACAAAAAAACAAGCAAGUUUAUUUGGAAUCUAAUACUAAGUUUAACAGAGAAAUGACUAUUUACAAGACAAAUGUAUCCAGACUGAAAAUAAAACGCGAACUACUGAAAUGCGAACCUUAUACAGCACUAAGGAUUCACAUCAUCUUACCUGGUCUUUCUUAAGAGGCUUCGGCAUCUGCUCGGUGGUUUUGGUCAUUUACUCAGAUUUUGCUUCCACGCAUCCCGCAUCACGUUUACACCGGAGCUUUUAUUGACGAGGCAUCACGGAGGCUCCGGUCCUUUCUGGAGAUAUAAUGGAGAAAUAAUGUCCAGCCGAAAUAUAUUUGUCGGCCACACCCAUGCAGUUCCCGAAGUUGGCCUCCAUCAAGCCACUCUAUACAUAACGAAAGGAACGGGGGUGGAUUGCUGUCUUUGGUUAUCUAGCUGUAUGAGUGUUAGUCAGCCAUCAUAAAGCUAGAUAACCGAAUGUAGGAAUUGCUCCCUAAUCUGCGCCUUAUUUAAAAUGAACAACUCUGACGGUUCAAGUAAAAAUCAGCGCAAGAAAACACCGCUCCAGGUGUGAUGCACAUCAGGCAGAGAGACCCCCCCCCCAGCUGGGUCACCGAGCUCAUCAUGGCAGCACAUGGAGACCCUCCAGGGGAAGCAGGCAGUGAACUGCAGCUCGGGGGUGUAACCAGCAGGCUUUAGGCAGCUGUGGAGCAGACAAACUGCGGAAUCACUAGCAUUACUUGUAUUUCGUGCACUUGAUGCACUGGUGCAUGCUGGUGUACUAUGAGGAUCAUCAAACACCUACACGCAUGUCAAAAGGAGAACAUCUCAAAAUUCUCACUUCUCUUACUUUGUGUAUUGAUUAGAAAAUUGAUCGUCUUCUGGAAUGGUAUAAUGGAGACCACCUCUUUGAUGUGAAAAUGUUUGGAAUAUUUUGUAUUAGUACAAAAAUGUUUUUGUACGUUAUGUUUUCAUUUCAGGAGAAAAA